UACGAAGGUGGCAAGCGUUACUCGGAAUUACUAGGCGUAAAGGGCAGGUAGGUGGUUCGAUAAGUCUGUUGUGAAAGCUCCCGGCUCAACUGGGAGAGGCCAACAGAUACUGUCGAGCUUGAGUAUAGGAGAGGUUACUGGAAUUCCCGGUGUAGCGGUGAAAUGCGCAGAGAUCGGGAGGAACACCAAUGGCGAAAGCAGGUAACUGGACUAUUACUGACACUCAGCUGCGAAAGCUAGGGGAGCAAACAGG
Molecule: ribosomal RNA, 253 nt
Filed under: uncultured bacterium
Lineage: Bacteria
Description: partial 16S ribosomal RNA
Rfam family: Bacterial small subunit ribosomal RNA
Source: RNAcentral